RNAcentral lists this long non-coding RNA (206 nucleotides) under Cavia porcellus (domestic guinea pig). Its description in RNAcentral is "lncRNA (ENSCPOG00000032035.1)". The record is from RNAcentral. Lineage: Eukaryota; Metazoa; Chordata; Mammalia; Rodentia; Caviidae.
UGUGGACUGACGUCCCAUUUCCUUCUGCCACACCUACCACACAGGAUAGGAGGACUCGAGUCAAGCCAAGAGGCUGUCAGCAAAAGAAACACAUUUUUGAACCAUCAGCCUAGAGGCUUCUACUCUUCGGCCCACUGAAGGGUCACUGGUAUGUGACACAGUAAGUGGAGGAAUCCUGAGCCCAGUAAGGUUGGACCUGGGCUCCU